UUAAUUCUCUCUAUGCUUAAUCCUUUACUCUCAGAAGGAUGAGGCAGGAGGAUUUCGAGUUUGAGGACAGCCUAGAUACAUAGACGCAGAAAGACUCUGUGUCUAAAAAUAAACAAAACAAAGCAGAACAGGAAGUCAGUGUUGGUCUCGGUUCCCCUUUCAUUGCUAGGACUCCCUGGAGCACCUUUGGAAUGCUGAAAUCAGUUGGAGACAAGGGGACCUGGACAGAAGGAAAGAGACAGACUACCUGUCCUCCAAAUAAGUGGGGUGCCCAGAUGCCUCACCUCCUGUAUCACAAAACUACAGCAACAACUGGAACAGGGGCUAGAAGUAUUCAUUGAAAUAUACAUUGCCAGAACAAGCACACUGCCAUUGGCUCAGCGACCUCCAACUCACACGGCAUUUGGAGUGGGUGUCACCAUGUGCCAGGCAUCGAGGACACAUGGCAGGUGGAGCCCACAAUUCUUGAUGAAAGUUUCCAGCUGAGAGAUUUGCUGAGCAAGGACAGAUCCAUCCUCCUGCAACACAAAGUGAGGCCUGGAAGCCCAGAAGCCAUAUUACAGCCUCGAGAAGAAAGCUGAGCAGAUGAUGGUGACAGAGAGAGGACUUUGUUUUUCCUGUCUCUAAUCUGCUCUUUCCAUUUCUGAGCUUCUUGGUAUGUGAGUAAAAGCAAGCGGGCUUGCUGCUGUCCCCCUCGAUGGCCUAUUUAUUACUUGUAACUGACAGAAAUCUUGAAGGAUGGCUUGCUACAAGGGUACCACAGGAAACCCAAUAUGGAAAAACAAAGAACAGAGGCUUGAAGUGUUUGUCAGCCACGAGGUGCUGGGACAGAGGACCUGCAUAACUACACGGACUCAUUCUGAACCAGGGGUUCUGAACCUUCCCAAUGCUACAACCCUUAUAGUUCCUCAUGAUGUGAGCCUCUCUCCCGCAACCACGAUUUUAUUUUCAUUGCUACUCCAUAUCUGUAAUUUUGCUACUGUUAUA
Molecule: small RNA, 987 nt
Filed under: Rattus norvegicus (Norway rat)
Lineage: Eukaryota; Metazoa; Chordata; Mammalia; Rodentia; Muridae
Description: uncharacterized LOC108351275
Source: RNAcentral